This 292-nucleotide ribosomal RNA is filed under the name uncultured bacterium. RNAcentral describes it as "partial 16S ribosomal RNA". It matches the Rfam family "Bacterial small subunit ribosomal RNA", at positions 505 to 796 of the family's 1533-position model. The record is from RNAcentral.
GUGUCAGCCGCCGCGGUAAAACGUAGGAGGCAAGCGUUAUCCGGAGUAACUGGGCGUAAAGGGCGAGUAGGUGGUUGCGUAAGUUGGUUAUGAAAGCGCCUGGCUAAACUGGGCGAGGUUGACCAAGACUGCGCGACUUGAGUGGAGAAGAGGUAAACGGAAUUCCGCGUGUAGUGGUGAAAUGCGUAGAGAUGCGGAAGAACACCAGUGGCGAAGGCGGUUUACUGGUCUCCAACUGACACUGAACCGCGAAAGCAUGGGUAGCGAACGGGAUUAGAAACCCCUGUAGUCC